RNAcentral lists this antisense RNA (117 nucleotides) under Stenotrophomonas terrae. RNAcentral's name for it is "Xanthomonadaceae sRNA asX1". It matches the Rfam family "Xanthomonadaceae sRNA asX1". The record is from Rfam by way of RNAcentral. Lineage: Bacteria; Pseudomonadati; Pseudomonadota; Gammaproteobacteria; Lysobacterales; Lysobacteraceae.
CACCCAACGUGGCAUGCGACAUAGGCGCAACAAGGUCGGAAUUGGAACAGGGGCCGACCGAAGCGUACGUUGGGGUAGCAGGGGGCCGGUAGUCGGGGGACUACCGGCCUUGCAAUC